GUAUAAUUACCAGUUGAGUAGAUAUUUCAUCCGAUUGGUAGUCUCAGGAACUUAUUUGGAUGUCUCUCUCUGCAUGGAGGUUGGAGUCCCCAAACUUCCAAUUCCUCUCUCCUCUUUUUCUUUGCAUAUCUCUUGGAUCUCCUGCCCUGUAUCUCGUCCCUUUGUCUUAACUUUUAAAGGGCCAGACUCUCUGUACGUCAUCAGUUGAUAACCCAAUAGAAGCACUAGAGGUGUGGUUAUCUUCCAGAUCGCAAAUUAGUUAUUUGGUCUGUAGAGGGCAGUCUUGUCCCACUAAACAUACC
Molecule: non-coding RNA, 302 nt
Organism: Pelobates cultripes (western spadefoot toad)
Lineage: Eukaryota; Metazoa; Chordata; Amphibia; Anura; Pelobatidae
Source: the annotation of a GenBank genome assembly